GGCGGCAGGCCUAACACAUGCAAGUCGAGCGGNAGCACAAGAGAGCUUGCUCUCUGGGUGACGAGCGGNGGACGGGUGAGUAAUGUCUGGGAAACUGCCUGAUGGCGGGGGAUAACUAGNGGNAACGGUAGCUAAUACCGCAUAACGUCGCAAGACCAAAGUGGGGGACCUUCGGGCCUCACGCCAUCAGAUGUGCCCAGGUGGGAUUAGCUGGUAGGUGGGGUAACGGCUCACCUAGGCGACGAUCCCUAGCUGGUCUGAGAGGAUGACCAGCCACACUGGAACUGAGACACGGUCCAGACUCCUNCGGGAGGCAGCAGUGGGGAAUAUUGCACAAUGGGCGCAAGC
RNAcentral lists this ribosomal RNA (348 nucleotides) under Serratia symbiotica. RNAcentral's name for it is "bacterial SSU rRNA". It matches the Rfam family "Bacterial small subunit ribosomal RNA", at positions 38 to 382 of the family's 1533-position model. The record is from RNAcentral. Lineage: Bacteria; Pseudomonadati; Pseudomonadota; Gammaproteobacteria; Enterobacterales; Yersiniaceae.